RNAcentral lists this long non-coding RNA (801 nucleotides) under Homo sapiens (human). RNAcentral describes it as "MIR646 host gene". The record is from RNAcentral. Lineage: Eukaryota; Metazoa; Chordata; Mammalia; Primates; Hominidae.
AGCCGAGGCCCGGUGCUGUAUUCUGCCGCCCAUUUUACCCGCGGGGAAGCUGAGGCCCAGUGCUGUUUAAUAUCUUACUCAUGUUCACUUGAUGAGAAAGUGACAGAUCUGAGACAAACCCAGAAAGGGACCAGCUUGACGAAGCUUCUGCUUUUGUGACUGUCUCCUAAUGGAUCUGGGGGUUUCUUCAAGCUCCCAGACUUGCUCAGGCACAUUGCAAAUAGCCAUGAUUUGAGAUGAUUUUCUUUAAUGCUGAAGCAGAUGAAGAACCCAGGUUCUUUUUAGUGGCAAGGCUUGUUUAUCAGCAGCUAUACAGCUAUGGGCACAGACACAGGUAAACAGCACAGAUGCUGGGAGAGGGCUGGCAUCUGACCGUGACCAUCACGCCCAUGUGACAAAGGAUGUCACCACAGUGAACAGUUCUGACCACAGUGGCUUUUCACCUGCUUCGUUAAAUUUAACUCACACCGGCUCAGAGGACAAUUUGAUUCAUUCUGUAUCUCAGCAGAAACCAGAGCACCUCAGAAGAUCAAGGCUUCCAAAUUCUCCUGGGGGAACAGACGUCAGCCAUUCAGCACAAAGGAAACUUCCUUCUCUGUAUGUCAGAGGAAGACAUAAUUGUGCCAUUUCCUUCUUGAAGAAGUUUACAAACAUUUGCAAGUUGUCAAAAAUAAUUAGUCUAAAAUUGUUUCAUAAACCGUGGAAUGAAACAGGACGUGCCUUGUUGAGAUCAAAGGGCUUCUGUUACCUUCUUGUAAACUCAAAUGAAAUUCUUUUGAAAGUAAACUCUUGGAAUUAGCA